This 403-nucleotide unclassified non-coding RNA is filed under the name uncultured fungus. RNAcentral's name for it is "partial contains small subunit ribosomal RNA, internal transcribed spacer 1, and 5.8S ribosomal RNA". The stretch from base 1 to 73 matches the Rfam family "Eukaryotic small subunit ribosomal RNA", at positions 1759 to 1831 of the family's 1831-position model. Lineage: Eukaryota; Fungi. The record is from RNAcentral.
GCAAACUUGGUCAUUUAGAGGAAGUAAAAGUCGUAACAAGGUUUCCGUAGGUGAACCUGCGGAAGGAUCAUCAAUGAAUUUCCUUUAAACUUGGUUCUGGUAACUUUUUUUGGCUUUAUGUCAAGAAGACUGCCAUUACCUAUCAACCACCAGUCCUCAAGUAAAAACGGUGUUCUCGUUGGAGUUAUCUUCAACAUAGCUCUAGAGCCCCUUUUUACAUUUGAAUGGACUCUUUUUAAGGCUUUGGUGGGAACAAAGAACAAAGAGGAUGAAUUGGUACAACAAAACCCGAUCGCCUACUUUUUUCUUACUCAACCUUUGCCGAAUGUGUGGGCUUACAACAAAUUAAAAUACAACUUUUAACGAUGGAUCUCUUGGCUCCCGCAUCGAUGAAGAACGCAGC